UACGGGGGGGGCAAGCGUUGUUCGGAAUUACUUGGCGUAAAGGGCUCGUAGGUGGCCAACUAAGUCAUACGUGAAAUCCCUCGGCUUAACCGGGGAACUGCGUCUGAUACUGGAUGGCUUGAGGUUGGGAGAGGGAUGCGGAAUUCCAGGUGUAGCGGUGAAAUGCGUAGAUAUCUGGAGGAACACCGGUGGCGAAGGCAGCCCCCUGGGCUGAGAUUGACGCUGGGUGCACGAAAGCGUGGGGAGCAAACAGG
Molecule: ribosomal RNA, 254 nt
Filed under: uncultured bacterium
Lineage: Bacteria
Description: partial 16S ribosomal RNA
Rfam family: Bacterial small subunit ribosomal RNA
Source: RNAcentral